GGAAUCUUGGACAAUGGGCGAAAGCCUGAUCCAGCCAUGCCGCGUGGGCGAUGAAGGCCUUCGGGUCGUAAAGCCCUUUUCUGAGAGAAGAACAUCCCGGGGAGGAAAUGCCCUGGGCUUGACGGUAUCUCAGGAAUAAGCAACGGCUAACUCCGUGCCAGCAGCCGCGGUAAUACGGAGGUUGCAAGCGUUGUUCGGAAUAACUGGGCGUAAAGGGGGCGCAGGCGGCUUGUUAAGUCUGGAGUGAAAGCCCGGGGCUCAACCUCGGAAGGCCUUUGGAUACUGGCAAGCUAGAGUACGGGAGAGGAGAGCGGAAUUCCUGGUGUAGCGGUGAAAUGCGUAGAUAUCAGGAGGAACAUCUGUGGCGAAAGCGGCUCUCUGGCCCGAAACUGACGCUGAGGCCCGAAAGCGUGGGGAGCGAACAGGAUUAGAUACCCCCGUAGUCC
This 446-nucleotide ribosomal RNA is filed under the name uncultured prokaryote. RNAcentral's name for it is "bacterial SSU rRNA". It matches the Rfam family "Bacterial small subunit ribosomal RNA", at positions 358 to 796 of the family's 1533-position model. The record is from RNAcentral.